AUGCGGGGGCGCGCGGGCGAGGGGCAGACCCCAGCGAGGGCCGGGGCCGGGGGCGCGGGGCGGGGGCGACCCGGACCCGCGGGAGGGACGGAGGCGGGAGGAGAACGGCCGCCCCGCCCCGCCCCUCCCCCCCGCCCCGCCUCCGCCCGGGGGUCCCGUCCCCCGCCCCGCCCGGCGGGUUAUGCAACGCUCCCGCGCCCCGCCCCCGCCGCCCCCCGCCCCCCGCCCCCGCCCCCGCCCCGCCGCCCAGGCCUGCGGAACAAAGCGCGGGGCCCGCGGCCCGGCGGGCAGGGCGGCCGCCAUGUUGGCGGGGGCGGCGAACAAAGGCGCGCGGCCCGAGCCCGAGGCCCCCCGCCCCGCGGCCCGCGGCCCGGCCGGCAGGGGGCGCUGUGCCGGCGCCGCCCGCGCCCGGACAAUGCGCCGCGGCCCGGCCGCCGCUCCCCCGCGCCCCGCCGCCCCGCCGCGCGCCCCGCCCGCGCCCCCUCCCCGCCCCGAGCGGCGCCCGCUCCCCCGCGGCCCGCGGGUCUCACCUGCCGGCCGCCUAGGCCGCCGUCCUCAGCCCGCGGGCCCCGCCGUCCCGCGCCGCACUCCCGCCCCGGCCCGACCGAGCCAGACGGCGCCGCCCCGCCCCCGCUCCGCUCCGCGGCCGCCGCCGCCCGCCCCCGGCCGCACGGCGCACGCGCACUGCGCCCGCCGACUGCGCCGGCCGCGCCGCCCGGCCCCGGCCCGACGGGCCGCACUGCGCAGGCGCCGCGGGCGGGGGGCGGGGCCCGCUGGGAGGGCGGGGCCUGGAGCUCGGCGGGGCGCGGCCCGAGCCCGGACUCGGUCCCGCGACGCUCACCUGGAGGCGGGGCGGGGCCCGGCGAGGCGGCGGGAAGAGGCCUCGGAGCCGGGCUGGCUGGCGGCGGGACGGGGCCUGGCGCGACCCAGCCCGCGGCGACGCAGGAAAAAGCUUCUUUGCCUCCUGGUUCCCUCAGGAGCUUCCUCUACCCCACCAUCUGAAUUCUGAUUCUCCAUCAUCGUACAAGCCUCUUCUGUGACCUGUGGAAUCCUGUCCCUUUCUUUCCGAUGAUGGUAAAGACUCUAUUUUCUUAUGCUCCCAGGAGGCAAGAGGAAAUAUGUUCAUUCCCUUUUUCUGGAAGCAGCAAAACCAUCAGAUUUCCAACUGGAAAGUGUGGAUGUGCACAUUCAGGAGCCCUCUAGAGACCCCAGGAGAGGCAGCCCACAUGGGGCAGAGGUCCGGGUGCCGUGUCAUCUGGGGCGCAUCUGGGAUGCGUCUGAAAGGCCUGGAAGGAUUGGGAGGGGUCAGGAACCCUGAGACUGAAGCUGCACACACUCGCCCACCUGUCACUACGAUGACACAGAGAAGCAGUGACACUGGCCUGCACGCAGAUUCAUCCCCAGAAAGAGGGGUGGGGGCGGGGAACACCAUGUCUUGCCCGAUGAGCGACAGGGGAAUGGACAGAGAAGAUGUGAUGUCUACGUGCAGGGCCUUGAAAAUAGAAGAUGCUGCCGUCUGCCGCAGCUGGAUGACCCAGCGGAUGCCGGGCUCAGUACAGCGAGGCAGACACAGGACGAAGGCCACGUGGUUCCCCUGCCAGGAUGGCCGUGGAGUCCUCGGCAGGGAAGCAGGGCGGGAGAGUGGGAUCCACGGCAGGAGGACCCGGGUGGGGGCGGGGGGCUCCGUUCAAGGGAGAAGGUUCCAGUGCAGGAUGAACAAGUCCGGAGACCUGACAUCCACCCUGUUUCCGAUGCCAACGAUGCUGUGUCUGCCCUUGAAAUCUACCAGGAGGGCCAACCUCGUGUUAAGCGUUUCACCACAAUCAAAUAAAAUAAUAAUAAUAAUAAAAUUGAUUCUGUAAAUAAUUUUUUAAAAAGAAGAAGAAGAAAAAGAAAAUAUAAGCAAGAGCUCAGGCAUGACAAAGCGGCCCCAGGGGACAGGAGGAAUUGCUGAGGGGGCCCCCAGGAUGGUAGAAACCCGGGGUCUGGCCCCAGGCCCCACUAAAUCCCCUGGUGCAGGUCGUGGCCAGGCUGAUCCCCAAUGGGAGCUCUCGGGGACAAGUGCAGACCCCCAGGACCAGGGGGCUCCCCUGCCCCGUCCAGCAGGAGCCCUGACAAGAUGUCCUCGCCUCCCUGGGACCCCAGAAGAGUUGCAGUCUGGCAGUGAGAGCCAGGGCCCGGCUGGGGGACGCCACCUCCCCCUGGACAGACCCCUGCUCUGGAUUGAGACUUCUGUCACCUGUGACCAGGAGCUUUCUAACUCAUUGAUUUUAAUAAAAAUAGCAUUUAUGUUAAGAUUAGAUACAUGGGACACCAUGUGGCUCAGCAGUUGAGCGUCUGCCUUCAGCCCAGGGCAUGAUCCUGGGGUCCUGGGAUUGAGUCUCACAUUGGGCUCCCUGCUUGGAGCCUGCUUCUCCCUCUGCCUGUGUCUCUGCCUCCCUGUGUCUCUCAUGAAUAAAUAAAUAAAAUCUUUUUUAAAAAGAUUAGAUAUGACAUGAUGGCAUUUGUCAUAUUUGUUGAUGAAUUACUAAACAUCAUUUUUAAACGCAGCAAUUAUAUGAGAUGAUAUUAUUAAAGUUCCCCUCAUUUGCUUUGUUGAUGGAAAGUUGAUACAGAAGCUUUCCAAAUAUGUCUUUGGGGAGGUUAAAAAUUGGUUCCAGUGACUUUAGUAAGAAAAGCAGUCAAUACAUUCUAAUAAAAACCUAGAGAAAAAAUUAUUUAAACAUUUUUUUCCCAACAACAAAAAAAG
RNAcentral lists this long non-coding RNA (2749 nucleotides) under Canis lupus familiaris (dog). Its description in RNAcentral is "lncRNA (ENSCAFG00030002664.1)". Lineage: Eukaryota; Metazoa; Chordata; Mammalia; Carnivora; Canidae. The record is from RNAcentral.